GGGGAUGGAGCCAUAGCUCAGUGGUAGAGCAUCUGCUUUGUAUGCAGAAGGCCCCAGGUUCGAGCCCUGCCAGCAUCCCCA
This is a non-coding RNA of Hemicordylus capensis (graceful crag lizard), 81 nucleotides long. NCBI's taxonomy places the organism in Eukaryota, Metazoa, Chordata, Lepidosauria, Squamata, Cordylidae. The record is from the annotation of a RefSeq genome assembly.